UAAUGUAGUCUGCGAUAAUGCAGGGAUGGAUUAUAGACUAAAAGGAAUUCCUAAUUGUUGUUUCACCAAUCACCCCUAGUUUUGUCCUAAACUUUCCCUCUAGCAACAGCUCGGCUUUGUGGAAGGAGGAGGUGGGGACAGGCAGAGAUUAGUUUCUGCUGCCCAGGCUAAUCCAUCCCAGCUGCCCAAAGAUCUGGGUCAGGCCCUCCUUCCCAUCCUCAGGUUUGGCAUUGCCACUAACCAGGAUGCAGCCAGAAAACCACAGGAGCUGAGUCCCCAUGUCUUCUCUGAACCCGAGGCUGCUCCUUCGUCUUUGUUCUGAUCCUUAGCCAUGCAGUCCAUCCAUGAACACAACAGUUUUGGAGUCAGACAGCCGCGGGUUGAGUCCAAGUCCUGCUAUAUCAGAUGCUUCGAGUGAAGUUUCUCCUCUUGCUGCCCUCCUGAGUGCUUUCCUCCUCCUUCCGAAGCAGCAGAGGCCUCCAUCUAGCCUCUGGGGCAUCACUCAGAGAAGAAACAAGGGCACCAUGGGGACCUGGUGUCAUUAUCCACAUUUCCAGCUGCUUAUCAACAGUCCCUGGCCUUGGGCACUGACCAGUGGGAAUCCCAAGCCACAAUCCCAUUGACCUCAUCCUGACACUGUGAUGCCACAUCUCUUCCUCUUUGAAUCUCACUCUAAAGGUGCAAAGAGUCUCCAAUUAAGAGCAAAGUCCAUCCACCAUGUAAAA
Long non-coding RNA from Suricata suricatta (meerkat), 725 nucleotides. RefSeq lists it as uncharacterized. The record is from RefSeq and is a predicted model, not a curated record. Lineage: Eukaryota; Metazoa; Chordata; Mammalia; Carnivora; Herpestidae. The transcript has 3 exons.